Molecule: ribosomal RNA, 158 nt
Filed under: Fusarium solani
Lineage: Eukaryota; Fungi; Ascomycota; Sordariomycetes; Hypocreales; Nectriaceae
Description: 5.8S ribosomal RNA
Rfam family: 5.8S ribosomal RNA
About the family: 5.8S ribosomal RNA (5.8S rRNA) is a component of the large subunit of the eukaryotic ribosome.
Source: RNAcentral
ACUUUCAACAACGGAUCUCUUGGCUCUGGCAUCGAUGAAGAACGCAGCGAAAUGCGAUAAGUAAUGUGAAUUACAGAAUUCAGUGAAUCAUCGAAUCUUUGAACGCACAUUGCGCCCGCCAGUAUUCUGGCGGGCAUGCCUGUUCGAGCGUCAUUACA